GUUCUCUUGUUUAUAACGACCACCACCAUGACAACUAUUUUGUCCCUUGCCACGCUCACAUAUAUUUAUACGGCCACAAUAAUUAUUUUAUCUUUUUCCAGACUUUGGAUUAUGCAUUCCCAGAUUCGCUUCUGGAAAUGGAGUUGAUCCAGUGGGGCGGGCUUCGUGAUUUUUCAGUAAAAGGGCACUACGUUGUUCGGCCACCAAAAGGCAUGAAAUUAACUCAGAAUAUUUCUCUAAAGCCCUUUUUACGGUAUUGUUGUUGUAACAA
This 271-nucleotide long non-coding RNA is filed under the name Nicotiana benthamiana. Its description in RNAcentral is "long non-coding RNA (NBEN_LNC002059)". The record is from RNAcentral. Lineage: Eukaryota; Viridiplantae; Streptophyta; Magnoliopsida; Solanales; Solanaceae.